CAGGGUGAAAUUAUUAAAAUAAUGAACCUGGAAAAGAAUGACUUAGAAAUGAAAAGAAAAUUCCUAAAUAUGACCAAGUAUGGAAACUGUAAGAGAGACAGAGUGGACCUUAUUCUGAUCCAGGAGCUCUGCAAAGAAGAAUCUCAGUGGACUUCCUACGGUGAUGAUGAAUUAACAGUGAAGAUGAGGAUGACUGAAGCCAUAUUUGAUAGCUUGAUCCUUGACACAAUCAGAGUUCUUAAUAAGAUUUAUCUGAAAAAAGCCUGCUUGAAAGGUGACUGUGAACCAUCUUGUUUCUUUUAAUAUGCUGUGGAACUGCUUAAAAGGAGCCUGGAGAUGGUUUCAGAGAGGUGGCACAGGGAAUGGCAGGACCUGGAGCCAGACAUUCAGGUUAAAUGUCUAUAAUUUUAUGCAAAUGAGGCAAAUACCAAUGUGAUGCACUUUAAAUUGGAGAUUUUUUCUAUCAGCACCUUUAAUUCCUAACAAUUAGAUGUGUGCCUGUAAUUGGGUUAUUUAUCAUGCAAUUCACAGAAGCCCAUUGAAUUUUUACAAUAUCCAAAUGUGUGGUGCUGUAAGAGUGCUUUGAUAGACAAAAGAGAGGAAAUCAAUACCGCUUUUGUAUUGGCAAAACUGGAAAAAUCAAGAUUUUGACAAGGAAAUAGAAGCAUUUCCUCAGCAUGGUAAUUGUUCACUGUGCUAAUUGCUGUACUCCCACCUAUUUUGUAUUGAGAAAAUCAAAUAUUUUAGGGUUUUUUUUAAUAAAUACUGUGCAAAUAUUUCUUACUGGAAUUCAGAAGCUGUUCAUUAUUGAAUAAUUGAUUGUAAAGAGAUCAGAUUUUUUCCAAUCCUAUUCAGAGUGUCUUUCAAAUAAUAUUAAAAUCAGACUCAAUAAAGAUAAAUUAUAUAUAAAACUUAAGAUUUAAAAAUACAGUACUUAAAAUCUGCUUGGGGAAUAGAAAGACAUUUUAUGUUUGUAUUUUUUUUCCUUGUUUUUUGUACUUGUUUUCUGAAUAAAAAUUAUACACAUGGUUUAUUUUGUUUAUUUCUUUUCACUGAAAUCAAUUAGAAUUACAAUUGUCUUGCACACACUGCUCUUCUCAGCAGUGAAUUGGGCGCAUUUUUGUUUUGUUUUGCUGGGCACAUUAAACCCUCCCCUGCUUGUUGCCAUAUGAACAGAAAUAAAAAGGCAA
This 1190-nucleotide long non-coding RNA is filed under the name Taeniopygia guttata (zebra finch). RNAcentral describes it as "lncRNA (ENSTGUG00000027742.1)". Lineage: Eukaryota; Metazoa; Chordata; Aves; Passeriformes; Estrildidae. The record is from RNAcentral.